CCGGGAUGAGGUAGUACGUUGUAUUGUUGUGGGGUCAGGAUUCAUGCCCCAAUCAGAGAUAACGAUACAACUUACUACUUUCCCCAG
Molecule: microRNA precursor, 87 nt
Filed under: Chelonia mydas (Green sea turtle)
Lineage: Eukaryota; Metazoa; Chordata; Testudines; Cheloniidae
Description: let-7 microRNA precursor family
Rfam family: let-7 microRNA precursor family
About the family: This family represents the microRNAs (miRNA) let-7 and mir-98. let-7 was identified from a study of developmental timing in C. elegans, and was later shown to be part of a much larger class of non-coding RNAs termed miRNAs. The extents of the hairpin precursors are not generally known and are estimated based on hairpin prediction. The products are thought to have regulatory roles through complementarity to mRNA.
Source: Rfam by way of RNAcentral